CCUACGGGUGACAGCAGUGGGGAAUAUUGCACAAUGGAGGGAACUCUGAUGCAGCGACGCCGCGUGAGUGAAGAAGUUAUUCGGUUUGUAAAGUCCUAUCAGCAGGGAAGAAAGUGACGGUAUCUGACAAAUAAGCAUCGGCUAAAUACGUGCCAGCAGCCGCGGUAAUACGUAGGGUGCAAGCGUUACUCGGAUUUACUGGGUGUAAAGGGAGCGUAGGCGGGAGAGCAAGUCAGAUGUGAAAACCCAAAGCUCAACUAUGGGACUGCAUUAGAAACUGCUCAGCUAGAGUGCAGGAGAGGCAAGUGGAAUUCUUGGUGUAGCGGUGAAAUGCGUAGAGAUUAGGAGGAACACCAGUGGCGAAGGCGACUUGCUGGACUGUAACUGACGCUGAGGCUCGAAAGCGUGGGGAGCAAACAGGAUUAGAUACCCUAGUAGUC
Molecule: ribosomal RNA, 440 nt
Filed under: uncultured bacterium
Lineage: Bacteria
Description: partial 16S ribosomal RNA
Rfam family: Bacterial small subunit ribosomal RNA
Source: RNAcentral